GACACCAGAGACCAUGGUGGAGAGUGUUGGAUCAGCCUGGACCUGAGGACACCAGAGCCAUGGUGGAGAGUGUUGGAUCAAGCCUGGACCUGAGAAAUGGAUUCCUCAGAGCUGUAAGACUUGUGACCAUGUUGAGGACUCCACACACUGGCUUCAGAUUGAACCCUUGACUUCCACUGUCCAGGGAGUGACAAUGUUCAGGCACAGGACACCCAAAGGGAGUUAUGAGUGCACAGUGUCUGGGCUCCGCUGGCUGUGUGAGAGAGAUGUCRUUCUGAAGU
Salvelinus sp. IW2-2015 is the source of this 281-nucleotide non-coding RNA. Lineage: Eukaryota; Metazoa; Chordata; Actinopteri; Salmoniformes; Salmonidae. The record is from RefSeq and is a predicted model, not a curated record.